AUCUGAUUUUUAGCAUGAAGCAGGUAUCCUUUCAAGAGAAGUAGAUGUCCCUUCCCAGGGUUUGACCUUGGAGUUCUGCAAAUCAAAGUAUCCAGGUUAAUAUCAAGACCUCACAGUGAGUUUAUCAGGGAUAGUGUGGGACACUGCUGGUAUGGGGGUAAGUGAUCCUGUGGGUUGAAACCACAGCAUAUGCCAUCUGGCCUUCAGGUACCUAGGUAAGUGAUGAGCGUCCUUACAUUCCUCGUUACCAUGAAUUUUUUUUUGAAGGUGUGAGGUAAGGAAUGAUGGAGUCCUCACCAGCUCCAGAGACCGUAUUUCUCCACUUUUCUAUAUUUCUGGAAAUGUUCAUUUUUAACCCUAUGAGUGUUGAGGGACUGCAUGUACACAGGUCUUUAUUAUGAUACUCCCUGUGAUAGUAUUCUCCAUAGGAUACUUAGAGGUGACCAAUCAUAGUAUGACCGUUUUAUCUGUAUUAACUUUGGAUUAUUUUAAGUAAUCCUGUAGAGCUGAUGUGUCUCGUAAUGAUGAAGUGAAUGUUAUUUGUAGGCUUCCUGAUAGGAAAAAGUUAUGUCCUUUAAACACACAUUCACAGCGUCUUUCCAGUUAAGAAGUCAUGGUAAACCUAACACUGCUCAUCACCAGGAAUGUUCCUGGUGUGCAGGUAAGUGAUGAUGUGGGCCUUGCCCAGGCCUUCUGCUCUCCAUAUAGCUGGCUAGGUGAUUACAUUUGUAAUCAGUUGUUACCAUUUUUCUUUGAAGGUAUUCAGGUAGGAAAUGAUAGUCCUUAUCAGUUCUAGAAACCAUGUGCUUUUUUUUUCUUUUUACAUUUUAGAGAAACUUUUAUGUUAUCCCAGUGAGUAAUGAGAGAUUGCCACAUUCAGGUAAUUACCAUAAUCUUCUUAACCCUAGCAGUAGCCAUGGAAAUUCUGCAGGUGUCUCAUAAUGAAAUGUCAUAUCUGAUAAUAGUCUUGACCUUGGAGUACUGUAGAUAUUCAGAUGGAGCUGAUGUUCUCAUAAGGCAGUUAAUUUGAGGUGUCUUGCUACAGGUUCUAUUUUUUUACACAUAUAUCGUGUGCUUUUCAGAUUCCUGUCAAGAGAUCAAGGUGAAAUUAAUGGUUAACGGGGGACAUUGCUGGUAUCCAGAUGAGCGAUGUUGUUUAUCUUCACACAUGAGACCAACUGACAUUCACAUACCUAGUUAAGUGAUAAUGAAGGACUAAACUUGCUCUACUAUGUGAUUUAGUUCAGCUUUUCAGGAGACACUUGUGGGCCUGCACAUAAUGACGAUGGAAUUGUAAACUGCUGA
Molecule: long non-coding RNA, 1305 nt
Organism: Lutra lutra (Eurasian river otter)
Lineage: Eukaryota; Metazoa; Chordata; Mammalia; Carnivora; Mustelidae
Exons: 5
Source: RefSeq, a predicted model, not a curated record